AUGGCCCCACGUGCGGCGUGCUCAGAGCUGGCUGCUGCCAGCCCCGUGGGCUGUCCCCAAACCCCGGUGGCAUCUGUCCCCUGGGGUGAGCAGCGGUGCCACCGAGGAUCGCAGGGUGUCACCGAGGAUAGCACAGUGGCACCAAGGAUGUCACACAGCCUCUCUGUCCCAUCGUGGUCCUCUUGUCCCACCAGAGUCCUCUUGUUCCACCAUGGUCCCUUGUCCCACUGCAGUCCCCUGUCCCAUCAUUGUCCCAUCAUCCCAUUACUGUCCCUCUAUCCCAUCAUGGUCUCCUUGUCCCACCAUUGUCCCUCUGUCCCACCAGAGCCCCCUGUCCCAUCAUUCUCCCUCCAUCCCACCACAUUCCCUUGUCCUACCAGGUCCCUCCAUCCCACUGUGGUCCCCUUGUCCCACCACAGUCCCCUUGUCCCAUCAUUGUCCCAUCCUUGUCCCUUGUCCUGUUGUGGUCCCAUUAUUGCCCCAUCAUCAUCCCUUGUCCCAUCACGGUCCCAUCAUCAUCAUCAUCCCUUGUCCCAUCCUUGUCCCUUGUCCUGUCGUGGUCCCAUAGUUGUCCCUUGUCCCAUCACGGUCCCAUCGUUGUCCCUUGUCCCAUUGUUGUCUCAUCAUUGUCCCAUCAUGGUCCCUUGUCCCGUGGUUGUCCCUUGUCCCAUCAUGGUCCCAUUGUUGUCCCUUGUCCCAUCGUGGUCAUGUAGUGGUCCCAUCACUGUCUCCUGUCCCAUCGUGGUCCCAUGGUUGUCCCUUGUACCAUCAUGGUCCCAUCAUCAUCCCUUGUCCCAUCAUUGUCCCAUCGUGGUCCCUUGUCCCGUGGUUGUCCCUUGUCCCAUCAUGGUCCCAUUGUUGUCCCUUGUCCCAUCGUGGUCCCGUAGUGGUCCCAUCACUGUCCCCUGUCCCAUUGUUGUCCCAUCAUUGUCCCGUCCCAUGGUUGUCCCAUCCUUGUCCCAUCGUGGUCCCAUCAUUGUCCCAUUGUUGUGCCAUCCUUGUCCCACGGCUGUCCCUUGUCCCCUGGCGGUCCCGGCUGGCAGAGCCCGCGCUGAGCCCUUAAUAAGCCGUGAUUCACACCCUGUGCUUAAUUAG
This 1095-nucleotide long non-coding RNA is filed under the name Cyanistes caeruleus (blue tit). RNAcentral's name for it is "lncRNA (ENSCCEG00000018753.1)". Lineage: Eukaryota; Metazoa; Chordata; Aves; Passeriformes; Paridae. The record is from RNAcentral.